RNAcentral lists this ribosomal RNA (253 nucleotides) under uncultured bacterium. RNAcentral describes it as "partial 16S ribosomal RNA". It matches the Rfam family "Bacterial small subunit ribosomal RNA", at positions 524 to 776 of the family's 1533-position model. The record is from RNAcentral.
UACGUAGGUGACCAGCGUUGUCCGGAUUUACUGGGCGUAAAGAGCGCGCAGGCGGUCGUUCAAGUCGAGUGUGAAAGCCCCCGGCUCAACUGGGGAGGGUCAUUCGAUACUGAUCGACUUGAAGGCAGGAGAGGGAAGUGGAAUUCCCGGUGUAGUGGUGAAAUGCGUAGAUAUUCGCAAGAACACCAGUGGCGAAGGCGGCUCACUGGCCCGGUACUGACGCUGAGGUGCGAAAGCGUGGGGAGCAAACAGG